CCUACGGGGGCUACAGUGGGGAAUAUUGGACAAUGGGCGAAAGCCUGAUCCAGCCAUGCCGCGUGUGUGAAGAAGGCCUUCGGGUUGUAAAGCACUUCCAGUGGGGAAGAAAGCCUUGGGGCUAAUACCCUCGAGGAAGGACAUCACCCACAGAAGAAGCACCGGCUAACUCCGUGCCAGCAGCCGCGGUAAUACGGAGGGUGCGAGCGUUAAUCGGAAUUACUGGGCGUAAAGCGCGCGUAGGCGGUCUGAUAAGCCGGUUGUGAAAGCCCCGGGCUCAACCUGGGAACGGCAUCCGGAACUGUCAGGCUAGAGUGCAGGAGAGGAAGGUAGAAUUCCCGGUGUAGCGGUGAAAUGCGUAGAGAUCGGGAGGAAUACCAGUGGCGAAGGCGGCCUUCUGGACUGACACUGACGCUGAGGUGCGAAAGCGUGGGUAGCAAACAGGAUUAGAUACCCCUGUAGUC
RNAcentral lists this ribosomal RNA (464 nucleotides) under Vreelandella stevensii. RNAcentral describes it as "partial 16S ribosomal RNA". It matches the Rfam family "Bacterial small subunit ribosomal RNA", at positions 338 to 795 of the family's 1533-position model. The record is from RNAcentral. Lineage: Bacteria; Pseudomonadati; Pseudomonadota; Gammaproteobacteria; Oceanospirillales; Halomonadaceae.